UACGGGGGGGGCAAGCGUUGUUCGGAAUUACUGGGCGUAAAGGGUUCGUAGGUGGCCAACUCAGUCAGACGUGAAAUCCCUCAGCUCAACUCGGGAACUGCGUCCGAUACUGGCAGGCUUGAAUCCGGGAGAGGGAUGCGGAAUUCCAGGUGUAGCGGUGAAAUGCGUAGAUAUCUGGAGGAACACCGGUGGCGAAGGCGGCAUCCUGGACCGGAAUUGACGCUGAGAAGCGAAAGCGUGGGGAGCAAACAGG
RNAcentral lists this ribosomal RNA (253 nucleotides) under uncultured bacterium. Its description in RNAcentral is "partial 16S ribosomal RNA". It matches the Rfam family "Bacterial small subunit ribosomal RNA", at positions 524 to 776 of the family's 1533-position model. The record is from RNAcentral.